Molecule: non-coding RNA, 195 nt
Filed under: Hoylesella marshii DSM 16973 = JCM 13450
Lineage: Bacteria; Pseudomonadati; Bacteroidota; Bacteroidia; Bacteroidales; Prevotellaceae
Source: RNAcentral
UACUUUUGCACGUGCAAUAGGUUCACCAUCAUCGGUGAUGAAAAGGGAAUCGGGUGUAACUCCCGGACAGUCCCGCUGCUGUGAACCGUCCUUUUCGCGAGGCGAACGAUGUGCCACUGAUGCCGGUAUAGGGUCGGGAAGGUGUUCGCUUUCGGACGGUGUAGUCAGAAGACCUGCCAUUGUAUCAUGAUAUUU